Molecule: ribosomal RNA, 2396 nt
Filed under: Salmonella enterica subsp. enterica serovar Enteritidis
Lineage: Bacteria; Pseudomonadati; Pseudomonadota; Gammaproteobacteria; Enterobacterales; Enterobacteriaceae
Description: bacterial LSU rRNA
Rfam family: Bacterial large subunit ribosomal RNA
Source: RNAcentral
UUACAAGCAGUGGGAGCACAGGUUUACCUGUGUGACUGCGUACCUUUUGUAUAAUGGGUCAGCGACUUAUAUUCUGUAGCAAGGUUAACCGAAUAGGGGAGCCGGAGGGAAACCGAGUCUUAAUUGGGCGUUAAGUUGCAGGGUAUAGACCCGAAACCCGGUGAUCUAGCCAUGGGCAGGUUGAAGGUUGGGUAACACUAACUGGAGGACCGAACCGACUAAUGUUGAAAAAUUAGCGGAUGACCUGUGGCUGGGGGUGAAAGGCCAAUCAAACCGGGAGAUAGCUGGUUCUCCCCGAAAGCUAUUUAGGUAGCGCCUCGUGAAUUCAUCUCCGGGGGUAGAGCACUGUUUCGGCUAGGGGGCCAUCCCGGCUUACCAACCCGAUGCAAACUGCGAAUACCGGAGAAUGUUAUCACGGGAGACACACGGCGGGUGCUAACGUCCGUCGUGAAGAGGGAAACAACCCAGACCGCCAGCUAAGGUCCCAAAGUCAUGGUUAAGUGGGAAACGAUGUGGGAAGGCCCAGACAGCCAGGAUGUUGGCUUAGAAGCAGCCAUCAUUUAAAGAAAGCGUAAUAGCUCACUGGUCGAGUCGGCCUGCGCGGAAGAUGUAACGGGGCUAAACCAUGCACCGAAGCUGCGGCAGCGACACUGUGUGUUGUUGGGUAGGGGAGCGUUCUGUAAGCCUGCGAAGGUGGCCUGUGAGGGUUGCUGGAGGUAUCAGAAGUGCGAAUGCUGACAUAAGUAACGAUAAAGCGGGUGAAAAGCCCGCUCGCCGGAAGACCAAGGGUUCCUGUCCAACGUUAAUCGGGGCAGGGUGAGUCGACCCCUAAGGCGAGGCCGAAAGGCGUAGUCGAUGGGAAACGGGUUAAUAUUCCCGUACUUGGUGUUACUGCGAAGGGGGGACGGAGAAGGCUAUGUUGGCCGGGCGACGGUUGUCCCGGUUUAAGCGUGUAGGUGUGUGUUCCAGGUAAAUCCGGUUCACUUUAACACUGAGGCGUGACGACGAGGCACUACGGUGCUGAAGCAACAAAUGCCCUGCUUCCAGGAAAAGCCUCUAAGCAUCAGGUAACAUCAAAUCGUACCCCAAACCGACACAGGUGGUCAGGUAGAGAAUACCAAGGCGCUUGAGAGAACUCGGGUGAAGGAACUAGGCAAAAUGGUGCCGUAACUUCGGGAGAAGGCACGCUGACACGUAGGUGAAGUGAUUUACUCAUGGAGCUGAAGUCAGUCGAAGAUACCAGCUGGCUGCAACUGUUUAUUAAAAACACAGCACUGUGCAAACACGAAAGUGGACGUAUACGGUGUGACGCCUGCCCGGUGCCGGAAGGUUAAUUGAUGGGGUCAGCGCAAGCGAAGCUCCUGAUCGAAGCCCCGGUAAACGGCGGCCGUAACUAUAACGGUCCUAAGGUAGCGAAAUUCCUUGUCGGGUAAGUUCCGACCUGCACGAAUGGCGUAAUGAUGGCCAGGCUGUCUCCACCCGAGACUCAGUGAAAUUGAACUCGCUGUGAAGAUGCAGUGUACCCGCGGCAAGACGGAAAGACCCCGUGAACCUUUACUAUAGCUUGACACUGAACAUUGAGCCUUGAUGUGUAGGAUAGGUGGGAGGCUUUGAAGUGUGGACGCCAGUCUGCAUGGAGCCGACCUUGAAAUACCACCCUUUAAUGUUUGAUGUUCUAACGUGGACCCGUUACCCGGGUUGCGGACAGUGUCUGGUGGGUAGUUUGACUGGGGCGGUCUCCUCCUAAAGAGUAACGGAGGAGCACGAAGGUUGGCUAAUCCUGGUCGGACAUCAGGAGGUUAGUGCAAUGGCAUAAGCCAGCUUGACUGCGAGCGUGACGGCGCGAGCAGGUGCGAAAGCAGGUCAUAGUGAUCCGGUGGUUCUGAAUGGAAGGGCCAUCGCUCAACGGAUAAAAGGUACUCCGGGGAUAACAGGCUGAUACCGCCCAAGAGUUCAUAUCGACGGCGGUGUUUGGCACCUCGAUGUCGGCUCAUCACAUCCUGGGGCUGAAGUAGGUCCCAAGGGUAUGGCUGUUCGCCAUUUAAAGUGGUACGCGAGCUGGGUUUAGAACGUCGUGAGACAGUUCGGUCCCUAUCUGCCGUGGGCGCUGGAGAACUGAGGGGGGCUGCUCCUAGUACGAGAGGACCGGAGUGGACGCAUCACUGGUGUUCGGGUUGUCAUGCCAAUGGCACUGCCCGGUAGCUAAAUGCGGAAGAGAUAAGUGCUGAAAGCAUCUAAGCACGAAACUUGCCCCGAGAUGAGUUCUCCCUGAGACUUAGAGUCUCCUGAAGGAACGUUGAAGACGACGACGUUGAUAGGCCGGGUGUGUAAGCGCAGCGAUGCGUUGAGCUAACCGGUACUAAUGAACCGUGAGGCUUAACCUUACAACGCCGAAG